RNAcentral lists this unclassified non-coding RNA (519 nucleotides) under uncultured Glomus. Its description in RNAcentral is "SSU rRNA". It matches the Rfam family "Eukaryotic small subunit ribosomal RNA", at positions 569 to 1092 of the family's 1831-position model. Lineage: Eukaryota; Fungi; Glomeromycota; Glomeromycetes; Glomerales; Glomeraceae. The record is from RNAcentral.
CGCAGCCGCGGUAAUUCCAGCUCCAAUAGCGUAUAUUAAAGUUGCUGCAGUUAAAAGCUCGUAGUUGAAUUUCGGGACUAAUAUGUCGGUCGUGCCUCGGUACGUACUGGCUUAUUGGUUUCUCCUUUCUGAAGAACCAUGAUGUCAUUUAUUUGGUGUCGUGGGGAAUCAGGACUGUUACUUUGAAAAAAUUAGAGUGUUUAAAGCAGGCUCACGCUUGAAUACAUUAGCAUGGAAUAAUGAAAUAGGACGUUUGAUUCUAUUUUGUUGGUUUCUAGGAUCGACGUAAUGAUUAAUAGGGAUAGUUGGGGGCAUUAGUAUUCAAUUGUCAGAGGUGAAAUUCUUGGAUUUAUUGAAGACUAACUACUGCGAAAGCAUUUGCCAAGGAUGUUUUCAUUAAUCAAGAACGAAAGUUAGGGAUCGAAGACGAUCAGAUACCGUCGUAGUCUUAACCAUAAACUAUGCCGACUAGGGAUCGGAUGAUGUUAAUUUUUUAAUGUACUCAUUCGGCGCCUUAAC